AUUGAACGCUGGCGGCAGGCCUAACACAUGCAAGUCGAGCGGAUGAGUGGAGCUUGCUCCAUGAUUCAGCGGCGGACGGGUGAGUAAUGCCUAGGAAUCUGCCUGGUAGUGGGGGACAACGUUUCGAAAGGAACGCUAAUACCGCAUACGUCCUACGGGAGAAAGUGGGGGAUCUUCGGACCUCACGCUAUCAGAUGAGCCUAGGUCGGAUUAGCUAGUUGGUGAGGUAAAGGCUCACCAAGGCGACGAUCCGUAACUGGUCUGAGAGGAUGAUCAGUCACACUGGAACUGAGACACGGUCCAGACUCCUACGGGAGGCAGCAGUGGGGAAUAUUGGACAAUGGGCGAAAGCCUGAUCCAGCCAUGCCGCGUGUGUGAAGAAGGUCUUCGGAUUGUAAAGCACUUUAAGUUGGGAGGAAGGGCAGUAAGUUAAUACCUUGCUGUUUUGACGUUACCAACAGAAUAAGCACCGGCUAA
This 477-nucleotide ribosomal RNA is filed under the name uncultured bacterium. RNAcentral describes it as "bacterial SSU rRNA". It matches the Rfam family "Bacterial small subunit ribosomal RNA", at positions 30 to 500 of the family's 1533-position model. The record is from RNAcentral.